GCCCAGCUAGCUUAAUCGGCAAAGCACUAGACUUUUUCUCGGGGUCGUGGGUUCAAGCCCUACGUUGGGUG
Molecule: non-coding RNA, 71 nt
Organism: Nephila pilipes (giant wood spider)
Lineage: Eukaryota; Metazoa; Arthropoda; Arachnida; Araneae; Nephilidae
Source: the annotation of a GenBank genome assembly